Non-coding RNA from Biomphalaria pfeifferi, 512 nucleotides. The record is from the annotation of a GenBank genome assembly. NCBI's taxonomy places the organism in Eukaryota, Metazoa, Mollusca, Gastropoda, Planorbidae.
GUAAAACACAUCAAGUGCAUAUUGUUGAAAAGAUUGAUACAAUACAAUUUGUUUUGACUUUGGGAUAGUCAACGUUUUAAAAUGUGCAUAGCCUGGUUAGCUACUAUUGUACAAUUUCCUUACAGUGUGCAGCAACAGUUUCGACUGAACAACAAAAUACAUUAAUGACUUCCAUUUUGGCAUUAAAUAAAUAACUGACAUACAAUCACAGCGAUGCUAUAUAGUUGAAACAGUAAACUACAACUUCUAAAAAAUUAGCCAAACUAUUUUCCCAACUUUGAAUUAAAUCUGUUGAUUUUCCACUUCAACAGAUUAUUUAUUUGUAUGUACUAAAAUAAACUGGAUUCUGAUGAUCUGCUUAAUUCUUGAAGCCUCAUUGCAUCCAGCUUUCACCAAUUAAGGCCAACCCAUUACAAACUGCCUUUAUCAAUUAUAUAAAACCAUUAUAAAAUGUGGUAUAUAUAUAUGAUGUACAAAAGUUGGCUUCAGUAACAUUUUAAUAUUCUUUAAAC